Molecule: unclassified non-coding RNA, 117 nt
Organism: Callithrix jacchus (white-tufted-ear marmoset)
Lineage: Eukaryota; Metazoa; Chordata; Mammalia; Primates; Cebidae
Rfam family: Metazoan signal recognition particle RNA
About the family: The signal recognition particle (SRP) is a universally conserved ribonucleoprotein. It is involved in the co-translational targeting of proteins to membranes. The eukaryotic SRP consists of a 300-nucleotide 7S RNA and six proteins: SRPs 72, 68, 54, 19, 14, and 9.
Source: Ensembl
GCUGGGCGUGGUGGCUCACGCCUGUAAUCCCAGCACUUUGGGAGGCCGAUGUGGGUGGAUCACCUGAGGUCAGGAGUUCAAGACCAGCCUGGCCAACAUGGUGAAACCCCAUCUCUA